RNAcentral lists this ribosomal RNA (465 nucleotides) under Vreelandella stevensii. RNAcentral's name for it is "partial 16S ribosomal RNA". It matches the Rfam family "Bacterial small subunit ribosomal RNA", at positions 338 to 795 of the family's 1533-position model. The record is from RNAcentral. Lineage: Bacteria; Pseudomonadati; Pseudomonadota; Gammaproteobacteria; Oceanospirillales; Halomonadaceae.
CCUACGGGGGGCUGCAGUGGGGAAUAUUGGACAAUGGGGGGAACCCUGAUCCAGCCAUGCCGCGUGUGUGAAGAAGGCCCUCGGGUUGUAAAGCACUUUCAGUGAGGAAGAACGCCUGGUGGUUAAUACCCAUCAGGAAAGACAUCACUCACAGAAGAAGCACCGGCUAACUCCGUGCCAGCAGCCGCGGUAAUACGGAGGGUGCGAGCGUUAAUCGGAAUUACUGGGCGUAAAGCGCGCGUAGGUGGCUUGAUAAGCCGGUUGUGAAAGCCCCGGGCUCAACCUGGGAACGGCAUCCGGAACUGUCAAGCUAGAGUGCAGGAGAGGAAGGUAGAAUUCCCGGUGUAGCGGUGAAAUGCGUAGAGAUCGGGAGGAAUACCAGUGGCGAAGGCGGCCUUCUGGACUGACACUGACACUGAGGUGCGAAAGCGUGGGUAGCAAACAGGCUUAGAUACCCUUGUAGUC